Molecule: ribosomal RNA, 406 nt
Filed under: uncultured bacterium
Lineage: Bacteria
Description: partial 16S ribosomal RNA
Rfam family: Bacterial small subunit ribosomal RNA
Source: RNAcentral
AUUGAACGCUGGCGGCAGACCUAACACAUGCACGUCGAACGAGUGGCGGACGGGUGAGUCAUGUCUGGGAAACUGCCUGAUGGAGGGGGCUAACUACUGGAAACGGUAUCUAAUACCGCCUACCAUCGGAUGUGCCCAGAUGGGAUUAGCUAGUAGGUGGGGUAAAGGCUAACCUAGGCGACGAUCCCUAGCUGGUCUGAGCGGAUGAGCAGCCACACUGGAACUGCGACACGGUCCAGACUCCUACGGGAGGCAGAAGUGGUGAAUAUUGCACAAUGGGCGUAAUCCUGAUGCAGCCAUGCCGCGUGUAUGAAGAAGGCCUUCGGUUCGUAAAGUACUUUCAGCGGGGAGGCGUUACCCGCAGAAGAAGCACCGGCUAACGCCGUGCCAGCAGCCGCGGUAAUUC